Molecule: long non-coding RNA, 397 nt
Filed under: Homo sapiens (human)
Lineage: Eukaryota; Metazoa; Chordata; Mammalia; Primates; Hominidae
Description: HSALNT0330430
Source: RNAcentral
GCCCAAGCCAAGCCAUCGCAUCCCCUGUGACUUGCACGUAUACGCCCAGAUGGCCUGAAGUAACUGAAGAAUCACAAAAUAAGUGAAUAUGCCCUGCCCCACCUUAACUGAUGACAUUCCACCACAAAAGAAGUGUAAAUGGCCGGUCCUUACCUUAAGUGAUGACAUUACCUUGUGAAAGUCCUUUCCCUGGCUCGUCCUGGCUCAAAAAGCACCCCCACUGAGCACCUUGCGACCCCCACUCCUGCCCGCCAGAGAACAAACCCCUUUUGACUGUAAUUUUCCUUUACCUACCCAAAUCCUAUAAAAUGGCCCCACCCCAUCUCCCUUCACUGACUCUGUUUUCGGACUCAGCCUGCCUGCACCCAGGUGAAAUAAACAGCCUUGUUGCUCACAC